UGCUAAUGCUCUGGCCGCCAUUUUCGUGUUUACAAAGUGCUCAAUAAUUUGACGUAAUUGUCAGAAUUGUCACCCAACGUUUAUCGGUGGUUGCGAACUUGGUCCAAACACGCAACUAUUUGACGUAUUUAACGACGAGCCUGCUUGAUAUGACAGGAGAAUUAUAUUAAAUUAUAAUCAUACGCAGCACACGAACGACAAAGUGCAAUAAACAAGUUGCAAGAGACAAUACUGAAGAGCUAUAAAUCUCGCAAUAAAUAUAUAUUUCUGCAUAUUUAUUAUCUUCUGCAAGAAAGAUGUGGUUCUAUUUCGUAUUCAUUCUUUUCGGCAUUCUCGAUGUCGCGAUGGCUUCCAAUAAUACAUUCGAUUUCGGUGACACUCUAGCACUAAUUAUAGGAUUAACCAUCGCAAUUGUCGGAUUCUUCGCCUGCAUGGGUGCUUAUGCAAGGAGGCGAAGUCAUUUCGAGUCCUUGUGAUGCUUUGCAAUGUUUUUGAACAUAUCCAAUAUAUGAACGAAAUCUGGAUAUUACAGUAUAAAGGUCCUAUCAAGGAAGAUGGUAAUUAAAAAGAGCAAUUCGAGAUUUUCUGUAAUAUAUACAAGAGACAACUUUUAAAAUUUUGAUGAUAUUCACGAAACAUAUUAUAAUGAUGCAUUAAGUUUGUACAUAAUAUAUCUAAUAUAUAUAUCUAUAACAUAUCUAUAUUGUAAUAAAGAAUAUGAAUAAAUAGAAUUUUUAUUAUUUUAAUACUAAUAUUAAUUUAAUGAUAUUGCAGUUGGAAAAGACAAACGAUAUAUUGUAUCUGUAUUGUACGUUUAUUUAUUUCUGUCUGUUAAGCUUUAUUGUAAUAAUUUUUACAUUUAACGUCUUUUGAUAAAGUUAGUAAAGUUUCAGCCUGUUUUACAAUAUUGUAUGAGGUACAGAGAGUACAUUAUUAAAAUUGGUUUUAUUGUA
Molecule: long non-coding RNA, 953 nt
Organism: Wasmannia auropunctata (little fire ant)
Lineage: Eukaryota; Metazoa; Arthropoda; Insecta; Hymenoptera; Formicidae
Exons: 2
Source: RefSeq, a predicted model, not a curated record